Molecule: non-coding RNA, 1057 nt
Organism: Pelobates cultripes (western spadefoot toad)
Lineage: Eukaryota; Metazoa; Chordata; Amphibia; Anura; Pelobatidae
Source: the annotation of a GenBank genome assembly
CUUGAGAGGUGCCCGAAGCUAAGCUGGAGGAGGAUGGUGCGUCAAGGUUCUGAGCGGAAGCUGUAGAAGAUUGGGUGUCCUGUGUUAGCCAGUCAACUAUGUCCUCAGAACUUUUCGAGUUCAGGGUACGUGGCCUCUGUACAAUGGGCAUUAUUCUAGGGCCAAAUGGAAUCACAGCACCACGACCACGACGGCCCCUGCGGGGUGGCCUGCCUCUGCCUGUCAUUUUUUUUCUGAUUAGUGGUACUAUGCGUGAAAGCUACUGUGACAACAGAUAUGAGUGUCACUGUGCAGUGGCAGAAGUUGGCAGAGUAGACGCUGUAGGCCUGACACACACGCUUGCAGACAACUAACUGCUAUUCAAUCUAUUACAGUCGAAAUUGCAUUUUUUUUUUUUAAAUGUACACUACUGUUACACCAGAUAUGAGUUGCACUGGUGUGACACUGUGCCCUGGCAGGCCCUGAAACGCACACGCGUGAAGGAAACUGACUGCUAUUAUAUUACAGUCCAAAAAGCUUUGUUUUUUUUAAAUGCAAGCUAUUGGGACACCAGUGAGUGAGUGGUGGCACUGGGCAGGCCCUGAAACGCACACUCGUGAAGGAAACUGACUGCUAUUAUAUUACAGUCCAAAAAGCUUUGUUUUUUUUAAAUGCAAGCUAUUGGGACACCAGUGAGUGAGUGGUGGCACUGGGCAGGCCCUGAAAUGCACACUCGUGAAGGAAACUGACUGCUAUUAUAUUACAGUCCAAAAAGCUUUUUUUUAAAUGCAUCUAUUGGGACACCAGUGAGUGAGUGGUGGCACUGGGCAGGCCCUGAAACACACACUCGUGAAAGAAACUGACUGCUAUUAUAUUACAGUCCAAAAAGUUUUUGUUUUUUUUUAAAUGCAAGCUAUUGGGACACCAGUGAGUGAGUGGUGGCACUGGGCAGGCCCUGGACAGCAGAGAUCAGAUGAGUCCUUCAAGACUGUAGUGGACACUGAAUACACUAGCCUAGCUAUCAAUUUCCCUAUCAAAUCAGCAGCAGCUACACUGUCCCUCCUCUCUAAGAAUGCAG